Long non-coding RNA from Brassica rapa (field mustard), 4356 nucleotides. RefSeq lists it as uncharacterized. Lineage: Eukaryota; Viridiplantae; Streptophyta; Magnoliopsida; Brassicales; Brassicaceae. The record is from RefSeq and is a predicted model, not a curated record.
AUUAAUCAAUAUAUUAAAUGAAUUGUAAAAUGAUAAUUAAUUUUUACUGUAAAUUUUAAAUUAACAAAACAGUAGUGAAAGUAUAAUUGACUAUAUAAAAUGUUUAUGACACAAUUGAUAAACAUUAUUAUUCGUUGACAAAAAAAAAGAUAAAUAUUAUUAUGCAUUUAACCUCAAAAAUUAAUUUUCAUUAAUCAUUAAUGGAAUUGAAUUGAAUUAACUUAUAAUGUUUUAAUGUGACUCAUAUUAUAAGUAAAAAUAUACAUGGAAUAAGAAAACUAGAGUCAUCUUAUUUAUUAAAGCACAAGUCAUUACUUUUUUAUGUGUAAUUAUUUUUGGACAAUCUCUUGAAAAUUUAUUAAAUGUUACUUUUGUAUUACCUAAUAAUAUCCCAACAGAAAAUUUCAUGUGAUACCAUUCAGUCUCAUGUAUAGUCUUAUCUUUGUUUUUGAACAAAGUAUAGUCUUAUCUAUUAGAACAGAACUUAUGACUUUUUCAUGUGUAAUCUUUUGUUUAGACCAUCUCUUGAAAAAAUUAAUGUACUUUUGUAUUACCAAAUAAAAUCUCAACAAUAAAUCUCAUAUUAUACCAUCCAAUCUCAUGUACAGAUAAAUUAAAAAGAAUUAUGUUAUUAUAUUGAAUAGUUUAUACAUUAUACAUAUAUCAAUAUCUGUAUAGUUAAUGUGUUAACAUGUAUUGAUAAAUAUAUAAUAUUGUUCAAUGCAAAACUAAAUAUUCAAUUAUAUACUGGUUUUAAUAAUUAAAUCGGUUUUGAUAUAUCUAGUACUAUAGUGUAUACGAAAAGUUAUAUUAUUUUAGUGAAAAUGCACAUGUGUAACAUAAGAAAAUAUAUUUGAUUAUCCUAUUGUAAAAAUACUAUAUAUUCAUUUAUUUUGUAUUAUCUAAUAUCAAUACUAUUAAAAUAGAAGUCAUGACUCAUUUUAUGUGUGAUUUUUUGUUGGACUGCCCUUUAGAAAGUUCUUAAAUGAAUUUUUGUAUAAAUACUUGAAAUAUUUAAAUUACUUUAAACCAACUAAUCAGAUAUAUAUAUUCCUUUAUUUUCUCUAAAUUUUCAUCUGAAUAAAAUCUUUUCAUAUCCUUUUUUACAGUAUAAAUUUAUUCUUUUCACUCAAACAAACCUUUUAUUUUAAAUAUAUAAUCAAUUUCGAAUUUAUUAAAUAUAUAAAUAUAUUUUUAAUUUUUAACUAAAAAAAACCCUUAAAUAUUUAAUUUAUUUCGUAUUUAUUUAAAAUAUAAGUAUAUUUUUUUAUGUUCACUAAUACAAACCUUUUAAAUAUCUAAUUAAUUUUGUAAUUAUAAUUAAACUCAUGUAUAAUUUUGUAUUAAAUUUACAAUAUAAAUUUAAUAUAACAUUUUCAAUAAAAUCCUGGAUCCCUAACAUAUAUGAUUUUUAAUUUAAAAACUUGUACCAAAACAAUCAGUUUGAGAGUAUAAUUGAUUUGCGUUAUUAAAUAUAGUGAUCGGUUUAAUAUUAUAUUUUAAUAAUAGGAGUAUAUGAAUACUUUUGUGAACAUAAAUGUAAUCAUUUUAAUUUAUUUACAUAUAGACCAAGUUUAUAUAUUAUUAACUAAUGCAAUUAUUUUUUGUACUAUUUUUAUCUUGUGCAGUUUUGAAAGUGCAAUAUGUAUUGUACUAAUUUAUAUCAUUAAUUUAAAUGACUGACGAAUGAUUGAAAAAAAGAAUUCAUGUAAAUAUGUUUAUUUUGAAUCUGUUUAUUUUGAAUCUGUUCAUUAUCAAAUGAAAUGGUAGGUAUAAAUGUUAAUUGUAUAACGUGAUGUAUCAUAGAUGAAAGUUUGCAAAAAAAAAAUUAAUACCGAAAACUCAUUGCAAAUAAUCCUAAGAGUUUUGGAGUAAUACAACCAAAAGAUAAAAAUCGAAAUCACCAAUAGACAGCAUAAUAUACCUUCAAUUUUUGGUUCAAUAAUUUAAAUAAAGCAUAUGUUUUAUGAAUUAGACUUAGUAUAGUCAAAUAUUUAAAUCAUACAAAUAAUUUGAUAUAACAUAUAUGUAUGGUCAAAACCUACAAUAUAGGUUAACAUAUAUGUACGGCCAAAAUCUAAAAUAUAAGUAGACCCUCUAUGAAAUAUCUAAGUUAGUAUUAAAUUAAGUGUCAUUUCCCGUAAAUAUAACUUAAGGUUAAUAAGAAAAAUACCACUAACAACUUAAAAUAAUAAAUUAAAUUACUGCAAGUGAACUAUAAAAUUAUUGUGUGUUUAAAAUGCAAUGUUAUAAUAUAUAUCCUUAAUCAUGUAAAACAAAUAUGUAUGUGUAUAAAAGUUAAAAUAAUUAUCCGCACGGUUGUCCAGGUAAAGAUCUAGUUUUAAAUUAAAAUAUAGAUGAUAUGUGUUUAAGUUAUAACUAAAGAUAAGUGAAUAAUUUAAAUCACUUUUGUUUAAUAUUUUAUUCAAUUUUAUUUAAAAUAUGGAUAUUCUAUUUAAAUAUGAAUAAAGAUAAUCACAACUAUAAAUUAAGAUUUAGUUUAUAAAUUAUUAAUAAAACCAGAUUUGCAAUUUAAACAAACAAAAAUUUAAAUAAUCCACUAAAUUAGAAUAUCCUGUUUAUAGAAUAUCAAAAAAUUCCUAUAAAAAUUUCCCUAAAAUUUUUUAAUAUAGAAGGUUUGUUUAAUACUAUUAAUAAAUAAUAAAGAUUUAUAUUUUUAAACAAACCCAAUAUUUUUAUCUUUAAAAAAAAUGAUUUACAGUCUUUUUUAAUCUUACCAUUUAAUUAACAACACGCUAAACCCCCUCUAUAUAUAUUAACAUACACACUAAAGCUUAUUGAACAAUUUAAUGAAAUUUGAACUAAUUUUUUUUUUAUGUGUUACAAGUGUUAAAAUUAUUUGGCACUAGGGUCGGUCCGGGCUACGUCUGGGUUUUCUGUUUAAAUUUUACUUUUAAUUAUAUAUUUAAUAUGUUUAUUUUAAUAUAAAUUUUAGAAUCUAUUAUAAAAAUAUAAGUAGCUAUAGACAAAUAUAAAAUAAUUUUAAAUCAUUCAUUUCUUUUGUCUUAUGCAAUUCUAAAAUUGUAGUAUCCACUUUUUUUUUUGUUAUAAGAAACUAUAUAUAAGGUGAAGAGCAGAAUGAGAAAAAAAUUAAUUAAAUUUUAGGUAUAAUACUUUUUGAUCUGUAUCCAAAACCGAUACAGAUUAUUUAAGAAAAUAAAAGGUACCAAACAUAAAUUAGGUAAAACAAAUACAAAAGUAGGCUAAUAGCAUUAUUAUUGCAUGUAAUCACACAUCAAAUCAGAUCAAAAAGUCACUAAAGAUGCAGCUCUUUCCCUCCAAACGUUUUCUCAAUAUGUCGGUAGAUACUAUAUCCAUUAAUGGGAACACAGUCUAUAGUAUAACUUUCAAACCAUAGAGAAAAUUCGGCAGUAGGCUCCACUUAUGGAUUUGACAGACGAAUCAAGUCUUGAUGACUUCAUCUCUGUGCUCCAUACCAAGACAUAUUAUAGCCGAGGGGUUUCUAGUAUGUCCACUUCUCCAUCUGCUUGGACAAUAUGAACUUAGUGGAUGCUUCAAACGUCAUUCAGCAGAAUUGAGAAGUUGAUUGUGCAACUCUUCCCAUAUCACUUGAGGAUCACCACAAUAAGCACUGUGCACCGUUUGAUCUUCCCAGCUUCUGGAUGUAAACCUUCUUCGCUGUGUUUCUGAGCAACCAGAGCCAUGCCUAUGUGUUACAAAAAGAGCUCGGAUGUCAUGUCAUCAAUUCGUGUAAGGAGAGCGCAACACCUGUCCCGAUAUAUAAAACACGUCUCUUCUUCCAAAUCUCUGAGACGCUUCUUCAACCUCUGAUUAUUUUAAACCGACCAUUGACUUCCUCUACAGAUUCGUAACGCCUCUACGCAUCACUGAAAUCAGAGAUAUUAGUCCUAUAAAUAGUGCCGAUCAUUUCGUCAAAACCAGUGCCUCACUCAAUUCAGUCUCGCCGUUCUCCGCCAAUUCAGUCUCGACGUUCUCCGCAGACAGUGGCCACACCUCUCUUUCGUUUAUGGAAGCACGAGAUAUGAAGAAAGGAGAGCUAAUGGAGCUGACAACUUGACAUGCUCUUGAUUGAUGAAAAGUCUUCACAGUCGACGCUCCUCUAGGGCACCACUUCAAACUUUCAGAUUCAACCAUCGCCAUCCCGGACAAGAAGGAUAGAUGAAACUUUUGUUGUUGUCUCUUUGGUGUCAUUUUGAUUUGAGUGGUUUCUGGUUCCUGACAAACUUCAAGUUGUGAUUUGGUUUUGUUAAUUAGAGAGUUUGCUGUAAGAACCGAUGAUCGAAGCAAUGUAUGAAGAAUAGUUGGUGAUGCAAUAUAGCUUAAACCAAUAUCAGGAUAUCUUUAACAGCUUUC